This 292-nucleotide ribosomal RNA is filed under the name uncultured bacterium. Its description in RNAcentral is "partial 16S ribosomal RNA". It matches the Rfam family "Bacterial small subunit ribosomal RNA", at positions 505 to 796 of the family's 1533-position model. The record is from RNAcentral.
GUGCCAGCCGCCGCGGUAAUACGGAGGGUGCAAGCGUUAUCCGGAAUCACUGGGUUUAAAGGGUGCGUAGGCGGUCUGAUAAGUCAGAGGUGAAAUACUGUCGCUCAACGAUAGCAUUGCCUUUGAUACUGUUAGGCUUGAAUCAGAAUGAGGUUGGCGGAAUGUGACAUGUAGCGGUGAAAUGCAUAGAUAUGUCAUGGAACACCGAUUGCGAAGGCAGCUGACUGGAACUUGAUUGACGCUGAGGCACGAAAGCGUGGGGAGCGAACAGGAUUAGAUACCCGUGUAGUCC